This 460-nucleotide ribosomal RNA is filed under the name uncultured bacterium. Its description in RNAcentral is "partial 16S ribosomal RNA". It matches the Rfam family "Bacterial small subunit ribosomal RNA", at positions 338 to 795 of the family's 1533-position model. The record is from RNAcentral.
CCUACGGGAGGCAGCAGUGAGGAAUAUUGGUCAAUGGACGCAAGUCUGAACCAGCCAUGCCGCGUGCAGGAAGACGGCUCUAUGAGUUGUAAACUGCUUUUGUACGAGGGUAAACGCAGAUACGCGUAUCUGUCUGAAAGUAUCGUACGAAUAAGGAUCGGCUAACUCCGUGCCAGCCGCCGCGGUAAUACGGAGGAUUCAAGCGUUAUCCGGAGUUAUUGGGUUUAAAGGGUGCGUAGGCGGUCGGAUAAGUUAGAGGUGAAAUCCCGAGGCACAACUUCGGAAUUGCCUCUGAUACUGUUCGGCUAGAGAGUAGUUGCGGUAGGCGGAAUGUAUGGUGGAGCGGUGAAAUGCUUAGAGAUCAUACAGAACACCGAUUGCGAAGGCAGCUUACCAAGCUACUUCUGACGUUGAGGCACGAAAGCGUGGGGAGCAAACAGGAUUAGAUACCCCAGUAGUC